GCUCACGCCCGGUCGUAC
RNAcentral lists this small nuclear RNA (18 nucleotides) under Arabidopsis thaliana (thale cress). RNAcentral's name for it is "snRNA_03294". The record is from RNAcentral. Lineage: Eukaryota; Viridiplantae; Streptophyta; Magnoliopsida; Brassicales; Brassicaceae.